This 236-nucleotide ribosomal RNA is filed under the name uncultured Staphylococcus sp. RNAcentral describes it as "partial 16S ribosomal RNA". It matches the Rfam family "Bacterial small subunit ribosomal RNA", at positions 104 to 334 of the family's 1533-position model. Lineage: Bacteria; Bacillati; Bacillota; Bacilli; Caryophanales; Staphylococcaceae. The record is from RNAcentral.
GGGUGAGUAACACGUGGAUAACCUACCUAUAAGACUGGGAUAACUUCGGGAAACCGGAGCUAAUACCGGAUAAUAUAUUGAACCGCAUGGUUCAAUAGUGGAAGACGGUUUUGCUGUCACUUAUAGAUGGAUCCGCGCCGCAUUAGCUAGUUGGUAAGGUAACGGCUUACCAAGGCAACGAUGCGUAGCCGACCUGAGAGGGUGAUCGGCCACACUGGAACUGAGACACGGUCCAG